GAUCCUGGGAUAUGGAUAAUCCAAGGCAUUGAUCCUGAGAGUUCUCCCCAGCAAACUUCCAGCAUACAAAUAGGUGCCUCAGAGGCGCCUCAUCCUAAGACAGUGUGUAGCAGACAGGGAAGCUGAAGCCUGGAGACCAUCUGAGAAGACGGUGAGCAAAAGCCAUGAGGUACCAGACACUACGGUCUCACAGAAGUCAUUCCGAGGUCAGGAGCCACAGAUUAAAAAUGAGAAAAAAAAAGUAGACGGGGUCAAGUCACUUUCUCAACGUAUCCUGAACAUCAGCUGAAGUAACGAGAAGUUGUUUUUCCUUCCUGCCAACUGGAAAGAGCCUCAGGACCACACUCAGCCAGGCACCAGAGCUGGGCAUCUGCCUUGUGUCUGUCUUGUCCCUCCACUUCCCUUGACCCUUGGACCAGUGACAGGGACACUCUGCCUACAUUUGUCAGCCUCUCCCUUUGAGGAACUGGCCAACGUUCUCUAAACAGCCAACUUCUGGCUGCAGCGUUGUUCCGAAUAAAUUGACCUAGAACAAAGGUGCUUCCUCCUGUCUGACUCCAAGUACAACAAGUUCUUUGGACACUGUGUCUUGACUUCUGCUGGCUGCCCUGGGGCGUAGUUUGAGUUUCUCCUCUAAGAAAAU
Molecule: long non-coding RNA, 643 nt
Filed under: Homo sapiens (human)
Lineage: Eukaryota; Metazoa; Chordata; Mammalia; Primates; Hominidae
Description: HSALNT0221844
Source: RNAcentral